AAUUUAGAGAGAGAGAGGGUUCUCCUUCUCUCUAGAAAUCUUCUCUAGAUCUGCAAUUAUUUUGAGAGUCCACCACCACUCCCACCCCACCCGCCACCACCUCCACCACUGCCCCCAUCACCUUCACCUCCAUCUCCACCUUCACCCAAUCUCUUUUCUCGACCAGAUCUGCUCACUUCAUCAUUUACCACCUUCCUCUCUUUCCUCAUCUGAGAUUUCCAGUGAUGGAAAACUCCAUAUUCACCACCAUCUUCACCUCCUCUCCAUCCCACGUUUUCUCAUUCUCCACAGACCAAAUCUCCUCUCGAGUCACCAAUUUUUUCUCUCUGAGUUCUACCCCCAAAUCUGUUCAAGCUUUCUUUGGACGGGAUUGACUAUGGUUGCUUCCAGAUCUGCUGACUUCUCCACCACAUCUAGGCAAGCUUUCGCCCGUUGGCGGAUUUUUGUCCACUUUAAAGAGGUGGAGGAGGUGGCAUGAUUUGGUUCUACGAUGGUGGCUUCUGUUCAUGGAGCGGCAUGAAUGCAGCGGUGGUAUUUCUUUGCGGCAGCAGAUUCGGUGGCUGUUUGAUAGGAUUAGGGUUUGUAAUUUUUCUUUGGGCUUUUGGCAGGUAGCUGGGUUUGACCCAUUGUGGGUUUUAUUUUAUGUUUGCUGGGCCUAUGUGCCUCUUUAUCUGGGCCUAUGUGCCUCUUUUGUUGGGGUCUUAUCACUCUUAUGUACCUCUUGUAUUUUGCUUGAUCCUUUGGAUCUUCUAAUACAAUUGACCCAAAAAAAAAAGUGAUAAAAUAAUA
Long non-coding RNA from Rosa chinensis, 789 nucleotides. RefSeq lists it as uncharacterized. The transcript has 2 exons. NCBI's taxonomy places the organism in Eukaryota, Viridiplantae, Streptophyta, Magnoliopsida, Rosales, Rosaceae. The record is from RefSeq and is a predicted model, not a curated record.